Molecule: ribosomal RNA, 253 nt
Filed under: uncultured bacterium
Lineage: Bacteria
Description: partial 16S ribosomal RNA
Rfam family: Bacterial small subunit ribosomal RNA
Source: RNAcentral
UACGGGGGGGGCAAGCGUUGUUCGGAAUUACUGGGCGUAAAGGGCGCGUAGGCGGCAAUUCAAGUCAUCUGUGAAAUCUCCGGGCUUAACUCGGAAUGGUCAGGUGAUACUGCUUUGCUAGAGUGCAGAAGGGGCAAUCGGAAUUCUUGGUGUAGCGGUGAAAUGCGUAGAUAUCAAGAGGAACACCUGAGGUGAAGACGGGUUGCUGGGCUGACACUGACGCUGAGGCGCGAAAGCUAGGGGAGCAAACGGG